AUGGAACCAAAGGAGAAGGAAAAAUCGAUACCUUCAACGCGGUAUAGAGAGCGGAAAAAGAACCAACCCCACGAGCAGCCGCCGCCCCCCACGCCUCCACGCGGCCGAUGCGAAAACGAAGACGGCGGCAACAAGACCCCGACGACAGGAGCAGCUCACCCUCCGGAGAGAACAUCACACGCAGCAGCCAACAAGAACAGCGCCGCCGCCCUCCACCGCGAACGAAAGAAAAGGGCAAGACCCCCCAGCCGCCACCGCCUAUGCUAUCGCGAGAGACAACGCUACACCAGAAGAAACCAGCGACACAGAGUAAAAAGGCCACGCACGCCCCAGUCAAAAGCCCAUUUACAAACCGACCAUAGGCUAAACUGGGCCCACGUACCGCCUAAACCAGCCCCGAUCAACCAGAGGCUCCCAUUUCGUGGGAGCUUAGUAUCUGUACCGAUAUAUGCUUUUGGUGCAAGCGCAACAUUUUUUUCCGUGCAAAACAAAGCUCUCCAAGACAUAGGGAUAAACCAGGUGAACACCGUAAAAGGAGAAAGGUCCAUCUAA
RNAcentral lists this ribosomal RNA (552 nucleotides) under Triticum aestivum (bread wheat). RNAcentral's name for it is "partial small subunit ribosomal RNA". The record is from RNAcentral. Lineage: Eukaryota; Viridiplantae; Streptophyta; Magnoliopsida; Poales; Poaceae.